Molecule: ribosomal RNA, 490 nt
Filed under: uncultured bacterium
Lineage: Bacteria
Description: partial 16S ribosomal RNA
Rfam family: Bacterial small subunit ribosomal RNA
Source: RNAcentral
AUUGAACGCUGGCGGCAGGCUUAACACAUGCAAGUCGAACGGUAACAUAAAGGAGCUUGCUUCUUUGAUGACGAGUGGCGGACGGGUGAGUAAUGCUUGGGAAUCUAGCUUAUGGAGGGGGAUAACUACGGGAAACUGUAGCUAAUACCGCGUAGAAUCGGGAGAUGAAAGUGUGGGACCUUCGGGCCACAUGCCAUAGGAUGAGCCCAAGUGGGAUUAGGUAGUUGGUGAGGUAAAGGCUCACCAAGCCGACGAUCUCUAGCUGGUCUGAGAGGAUGACCAGCCACACUGGGACUGAGACACGGCCCAGACUCCUACGGGAGGCAGCAGUGGGGAAUAUUGCGCAAUGGGGGCAACCCUGGCGCAGCCAUGCCGCGUGAAUGAAGAAGGCCUUCGGGUUGUAAGGUUCUUUCGGUAGCGAGGAAGGCAUUUAGUUUAAUAGACUAGGUGAUUGACGUUAACUACAGAAGAAGCACCGGCUAACUCCGUG